CCCGCACAAGCGGUGGAGCAUGUGGUUUAAUUCGAUGCAACGCGAAGAACCUUAUCAAGGCUUGACAUACACCGGUAACGCCCAGAGAUGGGUGCCCCUUUGUGGUCGGUGUACAGGUGGUGCAUGGUUGUCGUCAGCUCGUGUCGUGAGAUGUUGGGUUAAGUCCCGCAACGAGCGCAACCCUCGUCCUAUGUUGCCAGCGGGUCAUGCCGGGGACUCAUGGGAGACUGCCGGGGUCAACUCGGAGGAAGGUGGGAUGACGUCAAAUCAUCAUGCCCCUUAUGUCUUGGGCUUCACGCAUGCUACAAUGGCCGGUACAAAGGGCUGCGAUACCGCGAGGUGGAGCGAAUCCCAGAAAGCCGGUCUCAGUUCGGAUUGGGGUCUGCAACUCGACCCCAUGAAGUCGGAGUCGCUAGUAAUCGCAGAUCAGCAUGCUGCGGUGAAUACGUUCCCGGGCCUU
RNAcentral lists this ribosomal RNA (460 nucleotides) under uncultured Curtobacterium sp. RNAcentral's name for it is "bacterial SSU rRNA". It matches the Rfam family "Bacterial small subunit ribosomal RNA", at positions 920 to 1382 of the family's 1533-position model. Lineage: Bacteria; Bacillati; Actinomycetota; Actinomycetes; Micrococcales; Microbacteriaceae. The record is from RNAcentral.